AAGGAAUUUGGAGAAUGGGCUUGUGACCACUCACGGGCCAGAGUUUAAAACGGGUGAGAGCAGCACAUGCCCAGUGAUUCUCUCGGCAGCUCAUGGUGGUGGCGGCAGAAUUAGAAAGGGGAGGUCGGGAGAAAGAGGCAGGUCCUUAAAUUCACUGGGCAACCCCUGGAUGGUGCUUCUACACCCUCGGCGCGUACACAGACAUCUUAAAAUGCAGACUCUGAUUCGAGCCUGGGCGGGGCCCGAGAGCCUGCAUCGUUACCAAGCUCCUGGGAGGUACAGAUGCUACAGAUGCCGCUGGUCCGCAGACCACACCUGGAACACCAAAUCUUAGCGAAGGGCCCAUCCCUUAGGCUCUGGGCCACUGGUCAGGGUGUUGGCUGCAAAGUCUACGUGCAAUUCUUCACCACUCCCUCUGGCUCUGACUGUUGCGUGUGACUAGGGAACCCCUUCACACGAAGCCGCGGAGGCUACUCCCCAGCCCUCGGAUCCAGGCUGACCUUGUGACUUGCACUGGCAAUAACCACGAUGGCAAGAAGGAAAGGCCACUUCCAUAUCUAAGCCUCAUGCUUCUGCUCUCUCUCGAGAUUCUGCUACCGCCAAGCACACAGGCCUGGGUAGAUCCGGGAGGAUUGGAGACCAAGUAUGCAAAAGCCAUGAACAGGACGGUUUGCUGAGACUACCUGAUGGCAGAUCCAUGAGCAAACCCAGGAGAGACCAGAGAUGAAGAACCUUCCAGCUAAGCCCUGGACUCACUAGCAAUUGCAAAUGGUUCUUAUUUUAAUCUACUGAGUUUUAGGGUGGCAAUAGAUAAGUGUUUGAGGUAUAAUGUAAUAUAAAAAGAAAAAAAAUUAUAGGAUAUUAAAUUUCAAUGAAUAUGAAAUAAUUAGAAAAUAAUUAUGACAAAAAGGAAAAUGGUAUACAUGAAAAUAUAAUGAAUUCUUUUAGGAUAGCAGUCCUGUGGAAAUAAUAAUAUAUUUUUCUUUUCUUUCUACCCUUGUGCUUUUCCAAAUUUUCUCCCAUGAGUAUGCAUCACUAGCAUCAUGUUCGUUUAUUAUAAAAAUUGUUCAGUUAAAAAUAAUAAUAACUCAGGGGUCUCAUGUGUAUUUGGCAUCUGCCAGAUACUCUAGAAUCUAGACUAAGGAAAAGUAUAAGUGUCUUGAAAACUAUAAAAUAUCAGAGAACCCAUAAGGCGGUACAGUUUUUAUUAUGGUACAUAUUUUACAAAUCAUCAAAUGCUCUAGUAUGAUGAAGCUCUUUCUGCCAUAAAAUUGGUAGGGCUUUUAUAUUUGUUUCGAUUUGAGGUUAAGAAUGUAUUAACCCUAAAAAGCUAACAAAGUAACCACCUGAAAUUUUCAGCCAGCUUCCUUGCCACUAAUAUAUACAAGCGAUAAUGAACACAUCUCCCUGUACCGUGGGGCGACUUCUCACACUAAAUAAAGUUGAGCUUUCAUCUCAAA
Pteropus alecto (black flying fox) is the source of this 1460-nucleotide long non-coding RNA. RefSeq lists it as uncharacterized. Lineage: Eukaryota; Metazoa; Chordata; Mammalia; Chiroptera; Pteropodidae. The transcript has 2 exons. The record is from RefSeq and is a predicted model, not a curated record.